UGCUUCUAAUGAGUGGCCGAGAUAGUGA
This 28-nucleotide small RNA is filed under the name Bombyx mori (domestic silkworm). RNAcentral describes it as "ovarian small RNA-3773". Lineage: Eukaryota; Metazoa; Arthropoda; Insecta; Lepidoptera; Bombycidae. The record is from RNAcentral.